UACGUAGGGUCCGAGCGUUGUCCGGAAUUAUUGGGCGUAAAGGGCUCGUAGGCGGUUUGUUGCGUCGGGAGUGAAACUUGCAGCUUAACUGUGAGCGUGCUUCCGAUACGGGCAGACUUGAGGUAUUCAGGGGAGAACGGAAUUCCUGGUGUAGCGGUGAAAUACGCAGAUAUCAGGAGGAACACCGGUGGCGAAGGCGGUUCUCUGGGAAUAUCCUGACGCUGAGGAGCGAAAGUGUGGGAGCGAACAGG
This 251-nucleotide ribosomal RNA is filed under the name uncultured bacterium. RNAcentral's name for it is "partial 16S ribosomal RNA". It matches the Rfam family "Bacterial small subunit ribosomal RNA", at positions 524 to 776 of the family's 1533-position model. The record is from RNAcentral.